CAGCUCGAAUCAGGUCCCCCCAUCUCCCCCACCCCUUCUGCGCAAGAUACCAGCAGCCCCCGGGCUGUAAGCUCCUCCCACUGCAAACAACUUUCGCUUUUGCUGCCAAUGCAAGCAAACUCCUUGGCCUUUUUCUUAUAUUAAUUUCCCUUGUAACGCACGUGUCAGAACAGCUGGCAACUCUCCUGCAGCACCUCCGCUGGCGAGGAAGAGUGGAUAGGCACUGAACGACAUCCCCUCAUCCCAGACCCAAGAACAACUAUUGCCCUCCCAGGACGCGGCAUGCUUCCUCUACCUGCCCGCGUCGCAUCUCUGCAGGGAAAGAUUUUUCAUUAAACAUCCCUUUUUCAUGAAAUUUGGCUGAGAGGGGAAUUCAUAUAAGCCAUUGUAUAGCAGGAAUGAAGAAGCAUUUUGGAUCAAAUUAUGAAGAAAUUCGGAAUUAUUUUUUUUUGCCAAGGAUUUCCCAAAGAACUAAAUAUAAUUAACUGGAUCAAAUAUCUCCAUCAUUAGGCAAAACCAACGUCAAUUUUUAACCCAAGCUGCCAAAGGCCCAUUUUUUCAACAGAUCACAGAACCAGUCUCUUCACAUUCAUCCAGAACUGCUUCAAAACAAAAUGACAGGAGAAACCAACCAUGCAACAGAGAUAGUGUGAAGGACAAGCCAUUUAAUGAAUACUUCUGUCUAGAUGACAUUUUCAAUAAGUAAGACAUACAACUAAAAGCAUCUAUUUACUUCUAUCCCACCCCAGCAGUUGAUGGAUAGAAGCCUACACAGGUAAUCCCCAAUAAGAAACAUUGCUAUACCUUGCUAUAACUCAAGCUUCUUUCCUUUUAGUAAAUAAUAUUACUAUUUUUUUAUAAAUUCUUGUUUGUACAAUAUAAAUAGCCUUCAUUUAGAACACAAUGGAGACCCUUAAGCAAAAUGUUCCCUAAAUGAAAUUAUGAUUGUGUUUGUGAUUGUGAUUUUACUACAAAGGUUGUAAAUGUGUGGAUUGGUGGUCAGGUUACUCUUUUUUCACUGUUGUAACUGAAUGAUCUCCAAAUGAGAUAUUCACUAAACUGUUGUAACUGAAUGAUCUCCAAAUGAGAUAU
This is a long non-coding RNA of Thamnophis elegans (Western terrestrial garter snake), 1092 nucleotides long. RefSeq lists it as uncharacterized. The transcript is spliced from 4 exons. Lineage: Eukaryota; Metazoa; Chordata; Lepidosauria; Squamata; Natricidae. The record is from RefSeq and is a predicted model, not a curated record.